AUUAAUAAGCGGAGGAAAAGAAACUAACAAGGAUUCCCUUAGUAACGGCGAGUGAAGCGGGAAAAGCCCAGCACCGAAUCGUCCGUCUUCUAGGCGGUGCGAACUGUGGUGUUAAGGACAGCCUACGGGGAUCGAUUGGCGGACCGAGUCCUCCUGAUCGGGGCUUUACCCAGAGCGGGUGUCAGGCCUCUACGUCUGCCGUUCGGUUCUCCGAGGUCGUCCUACGAGUCGGGUUGUUUGAGAUUGCAGCCCAAAGUGGGUGGUAAACUCCACCUAAGGCUAAAUACGAACACGAAUCCGAUAGCAAACAAGUACCGUGAGGGAAAGUU
RNAcentral lists this ribosomal RNA (329 nucleotides) under Guaranidrilus sp. CE13683. RNAcentral's name for it is "eukaryotic LSU rRNA". It matches the Rfam family "Eukaryotic large subunit ribosomal RNA", at positions 42 to 365 of the family's 3401-position model. Lineage: Eukaryota; Metazoa; Annelida; Clitellata; Enchytraeida; Enchytraeidae. The record is from RNAcentral.